Molecule: ribosomal RNA, 492 nt
Filed under: uncultured bacterium
Lineage: Bacteria
Description: partial 16S ribosomal RNA
Rfam family: Bacterial small subunit ribosomal RNA
Source: RNAcentral
AGUGAACGCUGGCGGUAGGCCUAACACAUGCAAGUCGAACGGCAGCACAGUAAGAGCUUGCUCUUACGGGUGGCGAGUGGCGGACGGGUGAGGAAUACAUCGGAAUCUACUUUUUCGUGGGGGGUAACGUAGGGAAACUUACGCUAAUACCGCAUACGACCUACGGGUGAAAGCAGGGGAUCUUCGGACCUUGCGCGAGUGAAUGAGCCGAUGUCGGAUUAGCUAGUUGGCGGGGUAAAGGCCCACCAAGGCGACGAUCCGUAGCUGGUCUGAGAGGAUGAUCAGCCACACUGGAACUGAGACACGGUCCAGACUCCUACGGGAGGCAGCAGUAGGGAAUAUUGGGCAAUGGGCGCAAGCCUGAUCCAGCCAUACCGCGUGAGUGAAGAAGGCCUUCGGGUUGUAAAGCCCUUUUGUUGGGAAAGAAAAGCAGCAGGUUAAUACGCCGCUGUUCUGACGGUACCCAAAGAAUAAGCACCGGCUAACUUCGUG